CUUAUACUCCCUCCGUCCGAAAAUACUUGUCAUUGAAAUGGAUGUAUCUAGAUGUAUUUUAUUUCUAAACACAUCCAUUUUGAUGACAAGUAAUUCCGGAUGGAGGGAGUACUUG
Triticum aestivum (bread wheat) is the source of this 115-nucleotide non-coding RNA. NCBI's taxonomy places the organism in Eukaryota, Viridiplantae, Streptophyta, Magnoliopsida, Poales, Poaceae. The record is from Rfam.